This is a long non-coding RNA of Gavialis gangeticus (Gharial), 67 nucleotides long. RefSeq lists it as uncharacterized. Lineage: Eukaryota; Metazoa; Chordata; Crocodylia; Gavialidae. The transcript is spliced from 3 exons. The record is from RefSeq and is a predicted model, not a curated record.
AGAGGAUGCUUCACCAGCACGCAGGGUGACAAGAGGGAGGGAAGCCCAGCCAGGAUGAAUUGGUUUU